ACACUAUGAAAAAUUAGGAUCAUCUUCUCAAAGACCCAGAAUGGGCCUAGGAGCCAUGGAAAUUCACCCAGGAUGCUUUCUACCUAACCGGUCCAUGUCUAAAUAAAUUGCAUUUCAGCAUCCAAACCCCAGAAGUGUUGUGAGGAUAUAUGAUUUGCUGAUUACAUCAAGGAAAAUGUGUUCUAUUGGACAUCAGAUUUCAAAUAAUUCAAAAUUGUACUUUGAAGCAAGAAGACAGGAAAUGAACAAGGGCACAUACUUAGAACCCAGGACUCUGAGAACCAAGCUCCAAAUGCAACAGAGACAACACAUCAGUUCUUCAAAAGUACAAAUUAAUUCCAGGAGGGUAAUAGGAAACACAAGGCAUUAAAAUGAUACCAAGAUCUACCACCUGGUGACAGCUUAUCCUAGACACCUCCACAG
Long non-coding RNA from Peromyscus maniculatus bairdii (prairie deer mouse), 423 nucleotides. RefSeq lists it as uncharacterized. NCBI's taxonomy places the organism in Eukaryota, Metazoa, Chordata, Mammalia, Rodentia, Cricetidae. The record is from RefSeq and is a predicted model, not a curated record.